Epinephelus fuscoguttatus (brown-marbled grouper) is the source of this 676-nucleotide long non-coding RNA. RefSeq lists it as uncharacterized. The record is from RefSeq and is a predicted model, not a curated record. Lineage: Eukaryota; Metazoa; Chordata; Actinopteri; Perciformes; Serranidae. The transcript is spliced from 3 exons.
CCCUGCAAUCCCCAGUCUUUCCUUAAGUUGACAUAUCCCCUGGAUUUUGUGUGUGUGUUCGUACAUGUGUGAGUUUCUGUGCGAGACAUUCCUUUGUAAGGUCCAGGAGCUCCGUGCUGUCACACACUUCCUCCCUGAGGCCAGAGCCUUGAGGAGGGGGGAGGAGGAAGAGGAGGGAAACUGGCUCAGUACUUGAAAAAACUUUUGAAAAAUGCACACAGGCUCCAACAUCCCUAAUGCUGAUUCAACAUGCUGAACUGACCAAGAAAAAAACACACUGCAAAAACUAGGGUGUCAGACGCUUUCUGACAGCCUGACAUUGACCGGUGGUCCACCCAUGGCUUGGAUGACCCAUACUGUUGCUGAGUUUGGGGUUUCACUGUCUUACAGUACAGCCCUGAGGGGGAAACUCCACUCCAGUGACAUGGAGUGGGGAUGCAGCAGGAAGCCACAGGCGGUGAUGUGACGACUUCCAUCCGCUCACGUUGAGCUUAACGACCACCCAACCUAAUAUGGUCAAAGACUCAAGAGUUAAACAGCCACGCUCUCAGGGGUUCAAGUGCCUGACAAAGUGGUCAGGUAUGCCAGCUAUGGUGGCUUAACCCGCUGGAGGUCCUGCACAGGUUGGAGGUAGCACGCCGGAUGUGAUGUGAGUCCUAAGCCUAAUUAGGGCAGU